AUGUCAUAUAAUCAUUUGUCUUUUGUAUAUUCACAGGUAUGAUAGUUGGUGCAAUGUGUGCAAUUACUGGUGUUAUGACAAUCUCACUCCCAGUUCCUGUUAUUGUAUCUAAU
This is a non-coding RNA of Schistosoma rodhaini, 113 nucleotides long. The record is from Rfam. NCBI's taxonomy places the organism in Eukaryota, Metazoa, Platyhelminthes, Trematoda, Strigeidida, Schistosomatidae.